This 567-nucleotide ribosomal RNA is filed under the name uncultured bacterium. RNAcentral's name for it is "partial 16S ribosomal RNA". It matches the Rfam family "Bacterial small subunit ribosomal RNA", at positions 355 to 914 of the family's 1533-position model. The record is from RNAcentral.
UGGGGAAUUUUGGACAAUGGGCGAAAGCCUGAUCCAGCAAUGCCGCGUGUGUGAAGAAGGCCUUCGGGUUGUAAAGCACUUUUGUCCGGAAAGAAAUCCUUGGCUCUAAUGCAGUCGGGGGAUGACGGUACCGGAAGAAUAAGCACCGGCUAACUACGUGCCAGCAGCCGCGGUAAUACGUAGGGUGCAAGCGUUAAUCGGAAUUACUGGGCGUAAAGCGUGCGCAGGCGGUUUGCUAAGACCGAUGUGAAAUCCCCGGGCUCAACCUGGGAACUGCAUUGGUGACUGGCAGGCUAGAGUAUGGCAGAGGGGGGUAGAAUUCCACGUGUAGCAGUGAAAUGCGUAGAGAUGUGGAGGAAUACCGAUGGCGAAGGCAGCCCCCUGGGCCAAUACUGACGCUCAUGCACGAAAGCGUGGGGAGCAAACAGGAUUAGAUACCCUGGUAGUCCACGCCCUAAACGAUGUCAACUAGUUGUUGGGGACUUCAUUUCCUUAGUAACGUAGCUAACGCGUGAAGUUGACCGCCUGGGGAGUACGGUCGCAAGAUUAAAACUUAAAUGAAUUGAC